This 243-nucleotide long non-coding RNA is filed under the name Elaeis guineensis (African oil palm). RNAcentral describes it as "long non-coding RNA (EGUI_LNC012382)". Lineage: Eukaryota; Viridiplantae; Streptophyta; Magnoliopsida; Arecales; Arecaceae. The record is from RNAcentral.
GUCAUGCUUCUAUUGCUGUCAGACCAUCAACCACAAGCAAGAAGAAGAAGGAAAGAAGAAAAAAAAAAGAAAAGAGAGUUCUCUCUCCUUUCACUCAUGUCUCUCUCUAUCCUAUCUCUCUCUCUAAGCUAACCUAGGACCCAGUUCAAAGUCAUGUUCCCUUGGCUAUGGACUUCAGUUGACCUAAAGAAGCAUGAGACCAUCAUAGUGUCUGAGCAACCUGUCGGACCAAUCACCAUGGCC